This 1319-nucleotide long non-coding RNA is filed under the name Pogona vitticeps (central bearded dragon). RNAcentral's name for it is "lncRNA (ENSPVIG00000012334.1)". The record is from RNAcentral. Lineage: Eukaryota; Metazoa; Chordata; Lepidosauria; Squamata; Agamidae.
AUGUCUAUGCCUACAAGGGUGUUCACGUUACCUCUGGAAAGGGCUGUCACUAGGCAGAAGCGACUAGGGUUUUGCUCCAAGACAUCAGCAUGCCUGAUGACCGUUUGGGAAGUAAAAUGCAUCACUUCCUGGCUCUUAUUUAAUUUAAUUCAAUUUAAUUUAAUGGUCAGAACUAGUCUAAUUAUCUUAACGUUUUCAUCUGUUUUUAAUUUUACUUAUAUUUUAUAGGUAUCCAUAAUUAUAUAUUGUGCAAUAAGCUCUGAUAUGACAACAGAAGCAGGGAGAGCAAAUACAAAUAGAAUUUGUUCUCUGUGGCCUCUAAACACAAUGCUAGAAUGAAGGCUCUUGCCAGCAUGACCGACAAGAGCAAGCAGUUCACACUCAUUCUGGAUGACGAAAACCAGACCAAACCCAUAUCUGUGAAAAAAGCAUCAUUCCAGGAGAAAUCAAGGGGAUUUCUGUCACAAAGCUCUCCAGCGUUAUGCCUCACAUUUGAGAAGAGCGUAGGAUAUAAUGUGCCCUGUUUCUCCCAUAAGCCCUCUAUGACUGAGGCUGAUAGGCCUUCGAGCAAAAGAAAAAUUGUGAUUCUCUGUUUAUUUGCCCUUCUUAUCAUUUUGGGCAUUCUGCUGUUUUUCUUAUACAAUCCUUUCACUGGACCCCAGGAUCUACCCAAAGAGGAUGGGAUCAAAGCCAGGAAGAACAUGACAGCAGCCGUCUCAGUUGUGCCAGAAAAUCUCACACUUGCAACUCUAUUGGCAGCUGAAAUGGAAGAACCACAGGGAGGAGCCAUGAGGAACUGCUUGGAGAAAGCUGCUCAGGAGUUCUCUGAGGAGCCAAGCAUUGUGAAGAAGAACACCAGGAUGAUCCUGCAGUGUAACGGAACAAAGCGGGAGUUCCUGUCUGGAAAAGGGGGAAACCUCAUUGAAGUGGUCUGGAUCAAUGAGAAGGUGUCUUAUACAUUGGUUCAUGAAGCCCAUCCAGAUGUCCAUCUAGCAAGGCUUGGACGUCAUCCCUUUCCCCUCAGUCUUGGCAAUAUCUUUUGUGUUUUACAAGAUGUGAUCUCCUACAAUGGCUCAGAAGAGCUACAGAGUUGCCUCAGGGAGGCCUUAAAGCAAUUGCCCUGCGAACCAUUAAUAGUGCAGGACAAUGCCAAAAUGGUGGUGUCCUGCGGAGGGAAGAGCCUCACGUUCAUCUCUGGUGAAGGGCAAACUGAGAUUAAUGUAUACAGAGAAGACCCACAUGGGCCGAUUCAAUAUGUGGUGAAAGCAACAGGAAACGCGUGGUGGUCGAGAUAUUUCAAAAAGGGAAAGCUUUGCUAA